GCCGGACACGGUGGCGCGUGCCUGUAGUCCCAGCUACUUGGGAGGCUGAGGUGGGAGGAUUGCUUGAGCCCAGGAGUUCUGGGCUGUAGUGCGCUAUGCCGAUUGGGUGUCUGCUCUAAGUUUGGCAUCAAUAUGGUGACCUCCUGGGAGCGGGGGACCACCAGGUGGCCUAAGGAGGGGUGAACCAGCCCAGGUCGGAAACGGAGCAGUUCAAAACUCCCAUGCUGAUCAGUAGUGGGAUCUCGCCUGUGAAUAGCCACUGUACUCCAGCCUGGGAAACAUAGCGAGACCCCGUCUCU
Aotus nancymaae (Ma's night monkey) is the source of this 299-nucleotide unclassified non-coding RNA. It matches the Rfam family "Metazoan signal recognition particle RNA". Rfam says of the family: The signal recognition particle (SRP) is a universally conserved ribonucleoprotein. The record is from Ensembl. NCBI's taxonomy places the organism in Eukaryota, Metazoa, Chordata, Mammalia, Primates, Aotidae.